Molecule: ribosomal RNA, 502 nt
Filed under: uncultured bacterium
Lineage: Bacteria
Description: bacterial SSU rRNA
Rfam family: Bacterial small subunit ribosomal RNA
Source: RNAcentral
AUGGCUCAGGAUGAACGCUGGCGGCGUGCUUAAUACAUGCAAGUCGAACGAAGCACCUGCGACGGAUCCCUUCGGGGUGAAGAUGCUUGUGACUGAGUGGCGGACGGGUGAGUAACGCGUGGGUAACCUGCCUUAUGCAGGGGGACAACAGUCGGAAACGACUGCUAAUACCGCAUAAGCGCACGGCACCGCAUGGUGCAGUGUGAAAAGAUUUAUCGGCAUAAGAUGGACCCGCGUCUGAUUAGGUAGUUGGUGAGGUAACGGCCCACCAAGCCGACGAUCAGUAGCCGACUUGAGAGAGUGAUCGGCCACAUUGGGACUGAGACACGGCCCAGACUCCUACGGGAGGCAGCAGUAGGGAAUAUUGCACAAUGGGGGGAACCCUGAUGCAAGCGACGCCGCGUGAGUGAUGAAGUAUUUCGGUACGUAAAGCUCUAUCAGCAGGGAAGAUAAUGACGGUACCUGACUAAGAAGCCCCGGCUAACUACGUGCCAGCAGCGGC